GUUGAAACACAGAUACCCAUAUGAUCACUGAAGUUAAGCAAUGUUGAGCCUGGUCAAUACCUAGAUGGGUGACUGCUUGGGAAUACCAGGAGUUGUAAG
Molecule: non-coding RNA, 99 nt
Organism: Acanthosepion pharaonis
Lineage: Eukaryota; Metazoa; Mollusca; Cephalopoda; Sepiida; Sepiidae
Source: the annotation of a GenBank genome assembly